AUAUAAGGACAACCCUCUCUGCAACUGUUCUCACAACUCAGCAGAACAAGAAGGAAUCUUGGUGAUCCCAUGGGAGCUCUGGAAGGAGCUCUGACUUGUCUGUGGAUCCAGGAGAUGUGUCAGACUGGGGGGAAGGAGCAGCAUUUGCAGGUGUUCCUGUUUCCUUCGUGUUUCUGAACCUUUGGUAGAGACUUGGGUGAAGCUGUUCAGCCCCUGGAGUUGUGAAGCACCACCAGUGGUUGACCAUGAAUAUGUGGGAUGUACAUUCUUGGAGGGUUUCAGAACACAGUUGGACAAGCACUGAAUGACCUGAUCUAACCCUGAAGUUGUCUGCUUUGAACAUUUCUGUGAUUCC
This 355-nucleotide long non-coding RNA is filed under the name Manacus vitellinus (golden-collared manakin). RNAcentral describes it as "lncRNA (ENSMVIG00005011828.1)". Lineage: Eukaryota; Metazoa; Chordata; Aves; Passeriformes; Pipridae. The record is from RNAcentral.